AAAUUGAAGAGUUUGAUCAUGGCUCAGAUUGAACGCUGGCGGCAGGCCUAACACAUGCAAGUCGAGCGGAAACGACACUAACAAUCCUUCGGGUGCGUUAAUGGGCGUCGAGCGGCGGACGGGUGAGUAAUGCCUAGGAAAUUGCCUUGAUGUGGGGGAUAACCAUUGGAAACGAUGGCUAAUACCGCAUAAUGCCUAC
Molecule: ribosomal RNA, 199 nt
Filed under: Vibrio sp. OPT20
Lineage: Bacteria; Pseudomonadati; Pseudomonadota; Gammaproteobacteria; Vibrionales; Vibrionaceae
Also listed under: 1 other name
Description: partial 16S ribosomal RNA
Rfam family: Bacterial small subunit ribosomal RNA
Source: RNAcentral